This 497-nucleotide ribosomal RNA is filed under the name uncultured bacterium. RNAcentral describes it as "partial 16S ribosomal RNA". It matches the Rfam family "Bacterial small subunit ribosomal RNA", at positions 28 to 507 of the family's 1533-position model. The record is from RNAcentral.
GAUGAACGCUGGCGGCGUGCCUAAUACAUGCAAGUCGAUCGAACAGACGAGGAGCUUGCUCCUCUGAUGUUAGCGGCGGACGGGUGAGUAACACGUGGAUAACCUACCUAUAAGACUGGGAUAACUUCGGGAAACCGGAGCUAAUACCGGAUAAAAUGUUGAACCGCAUGGUUCAACAGGGAAAGACGGUCUUGCUGUCACUUAUAGAUGGAUCCGCGCCGCAUUAGCUAGUUGGUAAGGUAACGGCUUACCAAGGCAACGAUGCGUAGCCGACCUGAGAGGGUGAUCGGCCACACUGGAACUGAGACACGGUCCAGACUCCUACGGGAGGCAGCAGUAGGGAAUCUUCCGCAAUGGGCGAAAGCCUGACGGAGCAACGCCGCGUGAGUGAAGAAGGUCUUCGGAUCGUAAAACUCUGUUAUUAGGGAAGAACAAAUGUGUAAGUAACUAUGCACGUCUUGACGGUACCUAAUCAGAAAGCCACGGCUAACUACGUG